Molecule: unclassified non-coding RNA, 2348 nt
Filed under: Neodiprion lecontei (redheaded pine sawfly)
Lineage: Eukaryota; Metazoa; Arthropoda; Insecta; Hymenoptera; Diprionidae
Description: syntaxin-1A, transcript variant X5
Source: RNAcentral
AGAAGCAGGCGAAUCGCGAGACGUAUCGAUUUUAUGAUCGUGUCUCGCGGUUAGUGUGUCCGUUUCCUUAGUUUUUAGUGGCUGUGCAUCCUCCUCUUACAUGGAUAAAAUCGUGAAUGGGAUUAUUUACUAGGUGGAUUUUGCUCUACGCCCAGUGACUCGCGACACGUGAUAAAACAUGACCAAGGAUAGAUUAGCGGCCCUCGUCGCGGCUCAGUCGGACGAUGACGACGUGGCGGACGAGGUGUCCGUCAACGUGGGAGGGCAGGAUGAUUUCAUGACGGAAUUCUUCGCGGAGGUGGAGGAAAUUCGCGAAAUGAUAGACAAGAUCCAGACGAAUGUUGAAGAAGUCAAGAAGAAACACAGCGCCAUCCUGUCGGCGCCGCAGACAGAUGAAAAGGUGAAAAUGGAACUCGAAGAUCUGAUGGCUGAUAUAAAGAAAACUGCCAACAAAGUUCGGGCCAAGUUAAAGGUGAUAGAGCAAAACAUCGAGCAGGAAGAACAUACGAACAAAUCGUCGGCAGACCUAAGGAUACGCAAGACGCAACAUUCGACGUUGUCAAGGAAAUUCGUCGAGGUGAUGACUGAAUACAAUCGUACGCAGACCGAUUAUCGAGAGCGAUGUAAGGGAAGGAUACAACGGCAGCUUGAAAUCACGGGGAGAACGACGACUAAUGAAGAACUUGAAGAAAUGUUGGAACAAGGAAACCCAGCUGUCUUUACGCAGGGGAUCAUUAUGGAGACGCAACAAGCGAAACAGACGCUGGCAGACAUCGAAGCUCGACACGCUGACAUCAUUAAAUUAGAAAACUCCAUCAGGGAACUCCAUGAUAUGUUCAUGGAUAUGGCUAUGUUAGUCGAAAGUCAGGGAGAGAUGAUAGAUCGCAUAGAAUACCACGUGGAACAUGCCGUUGACUACGUUCAGACUGCCACGCAGGACACCAAAAAAGCACUCAAGUAUCAAAGCAAAGCUCGACGGACGAAAAUCAGCUAGCCGAAUUCCUCAGUCUGGAAACAACCGCGCGGUAGUGCGGACGUAUGAGAAUCGCGCUCCGCAGAUUUCGAGUACCGGGUUCUCUACCUCCUGCAUCCUGCGCUUCCUGAUGAAACUGGACUUCCAGGACAACCGCUCCGUAGUUCCUGCGCUCAACGUCCACUACCUGGUGAAACUUAACUUCCAGGAAAAGCGCUCCGUGGUUCCUGCGCUCCAGGUCCUCUACCCGGCGAAACUCGACUUCAAGAAGAGGACAAAGAGGACCGGGAGGUGGAGAAAGACAUGGAGAACAACGAGGACGGGGUGGACGAGGAGGAUUUUUCGCGCCAGCCCUAAUUCGUAUUCGAGGUACAACCCGAGGUGGUUACCAGUGGUCUUUGGAGUUGUUUGGUGGUGGUUGUUGGUGAUAACGGUGGACGAAGAGGAGGACGAGGACGACGAGGAGAAUAUGGUGGACGAGGAGGACGAGGAUUUGUGAACGUAUUUGAGGUCUAACCCGAGGUGGGCAGCGGUGGUCAUUGGAGGUGGUUGGCAGUGGUUGCAAGUGAUCGAGGUGGACGAGCAGGAGGACUAGGAAGAGGAGGACGAGGAAGACGAGAAGAACUAGGUGGACGAGGAGGACGAGGAUUUGUGCACGGAUUCGAGUUGGACCUCGAGUUGGUUAGCGGUCGUCAUUGGAGGUGAUCGGAGGUGGUUAGGGGUAGCGGACCUGGGCGCGGAAACUAUGGAGCGCUUUUCUUGGAAGUUGAGUUUCACUAGGUAGUGGAACUGGAGUGCAGAAACUAUGCAGCGCUUGGUCAAGAGUCACCAGAUCAAGAACCUGGACAGCCAGAACCACGGACCGCUUGUCCAGGAAGUCGAGUUUCACCAGGUAGCGUACCUGGAGCGUAGGAAGUACUGAGCGCUUGUCCUGGAAAACGAGUUGCACCAAGAAGCCGACCCGGAGUGCAGGAUCCAGGAGGAGGAGAACCCGGUACUCGAAAUCUGCGAAGCGCGAUUCUCAUCCGUUCGCUCAACUGCGCCGUUGUUUCCAUACUGAUGAAUUCGGCUAGCUGAUAUUUCGAGAAAAAAAAUUUUGGGUGACGUCACUUUCUAAACAACCGAACUUUGGUUUCGUACUUUAAUACUACGUAUGAUGUAUGAUGAUGUAUGAUGUAUAAUGUAUGAUGUAUGAUCUAUGAUGUAUGAUAUGAUGUAUAAUGACUUAGUUUUACCGUUUUGGCCAAGGAAUACGCACUUUAUCUUUCCUGCCGAUUCCAGACUCAAGAGGCUAGGCCCUUCGAUGGUCAGCCUUUGACUAAAGACAUAUUCUUCAGUUAACGGGUUAGCUAAUAACGCUGCCGUUCUGCGACAG